This 521-nucleotide ribosomal RNA is filed under the name uncultured bacterium. RNAcentral's name for it is "bacterial SSU rRNA". It matches the Rfam family "Bacterial small subunit ribosomal RNA", at positions 988 to 1509 of the family's 1533-position model. The record is from RNAcentral.
CCAGAGAACUUAGCAGAGAUGCUUGGUGCCUUCGGGAACUCUGAGACAGGUGCUGCAUGGCUGUCGUCAGCUCGUGUUGUGAAAUGUUGGGUUAAGUCCCGCAACGAGCGCAACCCUUAUCCUUUGUUGCCAGCGGCUCGGCCGGGAACUCAAAGGAGACUGCCGGUGAUAAACCGGAGGAAGGUGGGGAUGACGUCAAGUCAUCAUGGCCCUUACGGCCAGGGCUACACACGUGCUACAAUGGCGCAUACAAAGAGAAGCGACCUCGCGAGAGCAAGCGGACCUCACAAAGUGCGUCGUAGUCCGGAUUGGAGUCUGCAACUCGACUCCAUGAAGUCGGAAUCGCUAGUAAUCGUAGAUCAGAAUGCUACGGUCGAAUACGUUCCCGGGCCUUGUACACACCGCCCGUCACACCAUGGGAGUGGGUUGCAAAAGAAGUAGGUAGCUUAACCUUCGGGAGGGCGCUUACCACUUUGUGAUUCAUGACUGGGGUGAAGUCGUAACAAGGUAAGCGUAGCGAG